GCCGGGCGAGGUGGCGGGCGCCUGUAGUCCCAGCUACUCGGGAGGCUGAGGCAGGAGAAUGGCGUGAACCCGGGAGGCGGAGCUUGCAGUGAGCCAAGAUCACGCCACUGCACUCCAGCCUGGGCGGCAGAGCGAGACUCUGUCUCAAAAAAAAAAAAAAAAAAAGAAAUGGAGUCUCGCUCUGUCGCCCAGGCUGGAGUGCAUCGGUGCAAUCUCAACUCACAGCAAGCUCCGCCUCCCGAGUUCACGCCAUUCUCCUGCCUCAG
Molecule: small RNA, 266 nt
Filed under: Papio anubis (olive baboon)
Lineage: Eukaryota; Metazoa; Chordata; Mammalia; Primates; Cercopithecidae
Description: Metazoan signal recognition particle RNA (ENSPANG00000032751.2)
Source: Rfam by way of RNAcentral